GGUGAGUAACACGUGGGUAACCUGCCUCAUAGAGGGGAAUAGCCUUUCGAAAGGAAGAUUAAUACCGCAUAAGAUUGUAGUACCGCAUGGUACAGCAAUUAAAGGAGUAAUCCGCUAUGAGAUGGACCCGCGUCGCAUUAGCUAGUUGGUGAGGUAACGGCUCACCAAGGCGACGAUGCGUAGCCGACCUGAGAGGUUGAACGGCCACAUUGGGACUGAGACACGGCCCAGACUCCUACGGGAGGCAGCAUG
This 252-nucleotide ribosomal RNA is filed under the name uncultured bacterium. RNAcentral's name for it is "partial 16S ribosomal RNA". It matches the Rfam family "Bacterial small subunit ribosomal RNA", at positions 105 to 353 of the family's 1533-position model. The record is from RNAcentral.